AAUCCUCCAAUUUGUAAGUCGCUCUGGAUAAGAGCGUCUGCUAAAUGACGUAAA
Salmo salar (Atlantic salmon) is the source of this 54-nucleotide non-coding RNA. The record is from Rfam. NCBI's taxonomy places the organism in Eukaryota, Metazoa, Chordata, Actinopteri, Salmoniformes, Salmonidae.